Molecule: ribosomal RNA, 418 nt
Filed under: uncultured prokaryote
Description: partial 16S ribosomal RNA
Rfam family: Bacterial small subunit ribosomal RNA
Source: RNAcentral
GUGUCAGCAGCCGCGGUAAGACGGAGGGGGCUAGCGUUGUUCGGAAUUACUGGGCGUAAAGCGCGCGUAGGCGGAUGUGCAAGUUGGAGGUGAAAGCCCGGGGCUCAACCUCGGAAUUGCCUUCAAAACUGCACAUCUAGAGGCCGGGAGAGGGUAGCGGAAUUCCCAGUGUAGAGGUGAAAUUCGUAGAUAUUGGGAAGAACACCGGUGGCGAAGGCGGCUACCUGGACCGGUCCUGACGCUGAGGUGCGAAAGCGUGGGGAGCAAACAGGAUUAGAUACCCGGGUAGUCCCAGCCGUAAACGAUGUAGGCUCGGUGAUGGACUGGCUCCGAGCCAGUCCAGCGCCGCAGGGAAGCCGUUAAGCCUACCGCCUGGGGAGUACGGCCGCAAGGCUGAAACUUAAAUGAAUUGACGGGG